UCAAAUUUGAAAUCUCAUCGACCGAUCCUGAUGUCUUCGGAUGGAUUUGAGUAAGAGCGUAGCUGUUGGGACCCGAAAGAUGGUGAACUAUGCCUGAAUAGGGUGAAGCCAGAGGAAACUCUGGUGGAGGCUCGCAGCGGUUCUGACGUGC
RNAcentral lists this ribosomal RNA (151 nucleotides) under Cladosporium herbarum. Its description in RNAcentral is "partial large subunit ribosomal RNA". It matches the Rfam family "Eukaryotic large subunit ribosomal RNA", at positions 743 to 894 of the family's 3401-position model. The record is from RNAcentral. Lineage: Eukaryota; Fungi; Ascomycota; Dothideomycetes; Cladosporiales; Cladosporiaceae.